UCGUGGGAGAGCACAGGGCAAGCAGAGCUCACCCCAGAACCUGCAGCUUUUCACCCCAGGUGACUCAUGGUCAUUCCAGGCAUCCUCCCUGCACAGACUCAAUCUCAAAAGAACCCAGGGGAAAUGACCGCAGCAUCACGAAUGAGAUUCCCGUGUGGAAGAGACCUCUGUGCUAACACGGUGGGGCAGAACCGAGGGCCAAGGCCUUUGGAUAUAAAUAUCCUCCUAAGAGCUCUCUAAGAUGCCUGUGACAGAAUUAUUAGUGGCUCUGUUUGAUCGUCAAGUGGAGGGCUGUCAUAAAUCAUGCAGAUAAAAGACAGUUUCGUCCAGAAGACUGUGCCGUCUUCAAACAUCUGGCCUGCAAAGGAUCAGGGACAGAUGUGAGGAGAGACGGAAGAAUGACCAAAAACAACAGCUGGCCUGACACAGACAGCAGUGAACACAAAGGGGAGACCUUUCCCAAGCAAGGAGGAAGAUCCGUUUUUGCACCUGAUUGAGGCUGAGAGAUGGUGAAGAGUCUAUGCCAACUGCAAAUACAAGGACUAAAAUUACACGUGCGAAGACUACACUUCAAAGAACAAAAAACCAGCUUUUCAUUUACAUUCACAAAUACAUGCACACACACUCACAUGCAUGCAUGCACAUGCACGUGCGUGUACACUCGACUGUGCUUUGUACAACUGCCACCCAUAGAUCAAAGAUUGAAGAACAAACUUACCAAUUUGGUGUAGGUGACAGGUUUCUUCCUAGCAAGCACAAAGAAUACUUCUCUUGAUCGGAUUUAAAAGCUCACAAUACUUUGUAAAUAAGCCAAACACAGACCAUUUCGCCACUUACAGAAGAAACUGAUAAAGGCUGAAAGACGAACACCUGAAUCCUGCACGUGUGACCAGCUGUUGCCUGAGAUAUCAGGCCGAGGAACAACACAGACAUGAGUGCUUGUUGGCAGAUCAAGCUCCAAAGAAUGGCUUCUAAAUACUGCUUCUAUCAAUUGGGGGGAAAAAGCAGCUUUGCACUAAUCAAAGCCAGAACCAAGUUUAGCAAGACCUAGAGUCUAAGGGGGACAGAAACCAGAGCCAGCACGGCACAGGAUUCAUCACUGGAAGUGACUGAAUUGACCUGGGGGCCAAUGAGGGGCAUUUAGUAGUACCAUCAUGUGGCAUCUCAGUAGGACUUCCACUUACCGAAAGAACUUUUGGGAAAUGUGUUUUUAAAUUCACCUUCAUGUAAAUCUUUUCUGCCAUGUUUCUCUACUUGAGGGUGUAGAUACUCCAACACUGAAAAUUACAGCAAAGUAAUUUUCAGGCUUUAGAAGGACUCAAAACAAAAAGGAUACUAGAUAUUUGAAAGAAAAAUGCCCUCUGUAAAUGCCACUGUUACUUUGUAAAAUAAGCAGCUAACCUAGGAAACAAAUGAUCAAUUUUCUCAUAUAAUUAUUUGUCUCACACCUUCAUGUGCCUUGAAAAACCUAUUUUCUUUAUGCCUGUGACACGGCUAUCACCUGAAGGUAAGGAAAAAUGCUUGCUUUUUCUGCCUUCACCCCACCCUACUUAAAGCAGGUUGGAAUCCACUUACCUCUCUUAGGGAAACCACAAGCCUGCAGGUCUUCUCUCUUUGAGUAAAGACACUCCGUUUUGUUGUCAUGAUGGCUGUCACAUGUAGAAUACAGCACGAAUCUGUGUUGAGAAGCCAGACCAUCUAGGGCUGGUUGUUUUAGUGCUUCCCAGUUGUGAAACUUUGGAGAACCUGUUGGGAGCCAACUCCUAGCGGCUAACAUCUUUGCAGCCAUCUCAGGCCAUAUAUCCUGACAAGAGACUUGUUUUCAACAGCCCACAACAGCUGAGCACACUCUGAUAAACAUCUUAUUUUUCUCACAUAUCUUGUUUUGCUGUUUAGUGCCCUCAGCUGCAAGGGGCACGUGGUAUCUACGCUGCAAGGCACGUGGCAAAGUGCCUUCGGCUGUGUUCCCCUGCCUGUCCACGAGGGCAGGGCACAUGGUAAAGCAUGUAAAUACCCAGAAUUUCCUUUCAAUAAGAGACUUGAUCAGACUCUGUCAUGUCUCCAUUCUUUGCAUCUCUCGCCCCUCCAUCCCCACUCUCUCUCUUGCUAGACCCUGACCCGCGGACUGGAGCAGCAGAACCGGCUGUUAGACAGUGGCCCCCGAACGUGGGGCAGAACGGGUGGUUACAAGAACCAAGUCCCAUCUAUAAACUGGAGUAAGCUAAAUAGUCCUGAAAGCUCUUGAGGCUGCUGAGACCAUCAGUGAACUGUUCACUCUGGUCAUCUUUAUUAGAAAUGCAUUAGAAAUUAGAGAGCAGUUUCUGGAUGUAGACCAAGAAAGCUAUACAUAUUUUGACCAACCAAGCAUAUUACUGAAUGUCAAAUCAACAGUCUUUUAGAACAGAACAUGUCUAAAAUAACAGCCAAAAUGUGAAUUGCAAAUGAUAUAAAAUAAAACUUGCUAAGUUCUAGAUCUUUGUCUUUCAGAAAAAUCACCAUAUAAUUUUAUGUGACAAUAAAAUAUAAAGUUUCUUUAAGAUUUUGAUAGCCAGUGGUUUUACCACAUAAAAGAAAAAAAUAAGCUAGUUUUAAUUAUUCUGUAGCUCAUCUAUAAUCUUGGAACUUGACUGCUCAAAUUCUAAAUUGAAAUGAAAAGUACUCAGAGACUAUAAAAACAAGACUAGCGAGCAAGCAUUUUUAAAAAUAAUACAUAUUGCCAAGUAAACUCAACAGAAUCGUUUAAUACUUUAUUAGUAUUUUCUAACAGACAGAACGUAACACAAACCAAAUAAAAAUUUUAAUUUCUGUAGUUAAUAAAAAUAACUGACAUUCUGAUUCUUUCCCCUUGGUUAGAGAAGGAGAGCAUUGAUAGAGAGCGGUUAGGCACGAUUGACACUUAUGUACAAUGAUAUGCACAAGGUAAUUUGUAACAAUUAAAAUCCUAAAAUGUGCUCUUUAGUUUUCCCUUAUAACACAGGAGCCAUGCUCCCAUAAGCAAAAGUAUUCUACUAAGAAAAGAAUUUUACAAGGAGUGACAAAAAGACUUUUAAAACAAGUCCUUAAUUAAGGUGCAGCAACAACAGAAUGAAGUUGUUGGGUUAAGAAGACAGUUAAAUUGGAUUUCAAAACAUUAAAAAUGUAGUUAUUUUACAAUUACUCAAAUAAACAUGCAUUAAAUGAAAAUAUUGCACAAAAUUAAAACUGUAGAUUGUAAAAUUUAUGUUGUUCUUAAUUUCUUUUUUUAAAAAAUGGUACACUUUCAUUGCACUUAACGAUUUUUUCCCCAAACACCUGCAGCAAACUUAUAGUGAUCAAACUGUUAUAUUCAAUAAAUUUUUUUUGUUUUAAAUUAAGGCUAACAAAGUGCAUCCACUGGUCAAUGGCACAACUGUUUCCAGCAACUACAUGGAACACUCGGAUUAUAGAAAAUACUCAUCUAAGUGCUACGUUUAAGUCACACAAUCAAACUGUAGGUGAAUAAGCUAUGAUGGUUUCUUUGCAGUUUUACACUACCUGAAAAAAAUAUCAGAAAACCCAAAAGAAUGAUUAAUUUUGAUGGUUCUUGCCUAAAGGCACCACUGACUUAAAAGCACUCAGCAGAAGACAUACAGCCUCUUUGUGUAUAUGUUCAUAUGUGCAACAAAUGCACAAAAUAUAGUAACUUUAUUAAACGUAGAACACUGUCCUUUGCUUAUGGGUUAAAUACUCUACACAGCUGGACCAAGCCUAGGUUAUCUGUAGCUAUAGCACGGCCACACUCUUCGUUGUAAAACACAGCCGUGCACAGACACGUGGCCAUUUGACAUUUCAGCUCCAGAAAUAUAAAUGCUUCUCAACAAAAAUUCCCUUAAAAAAAACAUUUACUCAAAUAGUUUUGUUUUUGCUCUUUGUUUGGUUUUGGUGUGACUGCAGUUGUCUUGCAGGGCUGUGAGAAGAUCUGCAGUUUAUACGACCUCUUUUUCCCCUGGUUGACAGUUUUCUCACUUUAUAUAGAAACACUUUUCACAUGUACACACUAGGCUCUUGCAAGAAUCCUUCUGUAUACACUUAAAUGUAUUCAUGUAAAAAUAUAAUUGAAACAGGAGGCUAUGUAUGAAAUUAUUGCACUUGUGGCCAUGCUGAUGCUUUCUACACACUUGAUGCAUCCAAUUUUAAGCCUGGGGCCAAUGAAGGGCCAGCAGGGCAGGGGCAGGAGUACAGGAAAUGGUUCUUCUGCCAGAGAAACAAUCUUUCCUCACUUGCAAGUUUCGAAAAGGGGUUUUACUUAUGUAAUUCUGAAAGACAUGCAACACAUGCUGACUAUGUGCAUACUACACAUAUGCACACAGCACUGAGCAUCAUAAAGCUUUCCAGGAAGGCUUCCCUCUUAGUAUUAGGCUUCACUGGUUAAGAAGAAUCUGAGUGACAGCAAGACUAAAUCCUAUUCCAAUCUUCUGGAUUAUCAAUACUCUGUCCCUUUACAAUAAGCACCCAAACAUUCUUUAAAUAUCAGGAUACUGGCUCAGUGGUCUGAAAAGUAGUUUCACUAUUUUAAGGUUUUAGUGUUAAAUAUUUUUAAAACAAAAAGAGCUGAUAUAUCUAAACCCUUAGUCAUUGGAAGUAUUUAAAAGUACAGAAAUCCUGCAUAUAUGGGAUAUGAAGACUUCCUAAUGGACAAAAUGGAGAGAACACUAGGAAAUGCAAAGGCUUCACAACUGGAAAAGGUAUUUUGUUUCACUGAUAUAAAAUAUUAGGGCGUUAAAUGUAUACACCAAAGGGUUUUGUGUACUAGCUUUAUUUAGAAUUUUACAUUAUGCGAAAUAUAAAUAAAAGCAUAUUUUUA
Long non-coding RNA from Grammomys surdaster, 4822 nucleotides. RefSeq lists it as uncharacterized. The record is from RefSeq and is a predicted model, not a curated record. The transcript is spliced from 3 exons. Lineage: Eukaryota; Metazoa; Chordata; Mammalia; Rodentia; Muridae.